GCUACCACGCGAGUGGAUGCCAAUCCCCAAAACCUCUCUCAGUUCGGACUGGAGUCUGCAACCCGACUCCACGAAGCUGGAUUCGCUAGUAAUCGCGCAUCAGCCACGGCGCGGUGAAUACGUUCCCGGGCCUUGUACACACCGCCCGUCAAGCCAUGGGAGCCGGGGUACCUGAAGUGCGUAACCGCGAGGAGCGCCCUAGGGUAAAACUGGUGACUGGGGCUAAGUCGUAACAAGGUAAC
RNAcentral lists this ribosomal RNA (242 nucleotides) under uncultured bacterium. RNAcentral describes it as "partial 16S ribosomal RNA". It matches the Rfam family "Bacterial small subunit ribosomal RNA", at positions 1249 to 1500 of the family's 1533-position model. The record is from RNAcentral.